GCACCCAUAGUUCAGCUGGAUAGAACGCUAGUUUGCGGUACUGGAGGUCACAGGUUCGAAUCCUGUUGGGUGUA
This 74-nucleotide transfer RNA is filed under the name Sulfurovum sp. bin170. It matches the Rfam family "tRNA". From Rfam's summary of the family: Transfer RNA (tRNA) molecules are approximately 80 nucleotides in length. Their secondary structure includes four short double-helical elements and three loops (D, anti-codon, and T loops). The record is from Rfam by way of RNAcentral. RNAcentral also lists the same sequence under 1 other name. Lineage: Bacteria; Pseudomonadati; Campylobacterota; Epsilonproteobacteria; Campylobacterales; Sulfurovaceae.